CAAUGUUUAGAAGCCCUGGGGAACUUAUUUAAAUGCAGUUUCUUGUUCUCCAUUUCUCAGCCUCCGCCCUGGUAAAGGUUGUGAGUGGGGUCCAGGAAUCUGGAUUUUUAACAGACUCCCUAGUGAUUCUUA
Molecule: microRNA precursor, 132 nt
Filed under: Dasypus novemcinctus (nine-banded armadillo)
Lineage: Eukaryota; Metazoa; Chordata; Mammalia; Cingulata; Dasypodidae
Description: miRNA (ENSDNOG00000033955.1)
Source: RNAcentral